GACAGUUUAUCUUGAGGGUUUAAAACAUCCCUUGCAAACCUUUCCCUCCUCCCCUCUUCCUUGUUGACAAUCCACUUGAAACAAGACAGAUGUUGGGCCAGUUUUCUUUACGGUUGCUCUAAUUCCACAAGGUUUGCCUCUGGGAACAAGAACAGCAAAGAAAUGUUCUGAAAGGAAAAAAGAGUGACCUUUUCCGCAGAGGCAUUUUAAACCUGUGUGAUGCUCAUGUAGCCAACCAAGAAUAUAAUAAAGAGAAAAAAGAUAGUGUAACUAAGUCUGUGGAUGAGACAGAAGCCAGGGUAUCCACUUUGGCAGAUGAAGAAUCAGCAGAGUCAACACAUACCAAGAAGGUAAUGAACGGUCUUUCAAACUUCAUUUUUCACCCAGGGAGGAGAAGACAAGUCAUCCGAGUUAUGGUUGCUCAG
Lacerta agilis (Sand lizard) is the source of this 425-nucleotide long non-coding RNA. RefSeq lists it as uncharacterized. The record is from RefSeq and is a predicted model, not a curated record. The transcript has 3 exons. NCBI's taxonomy places the organism in Eukaryota, Metazoa, Chordata, Lepidosauria, Squamata, Lacertidae.